CCUACGGGAGACAGCAGUGAGGAAUAUUGGUCAAUGGCCGGAAGGCUGAACCAGCCAAGCCGCGUGAAGGACGAAGGUGCCAAGCAUUGUAAACUUCUUUUGUCAAGGGACAAAAUCAGGCUCGAGAGCCUGACCGAGGGUACUUGAAGAAAAAGCAUCGGCUAACUCCGUGCCAGCAGCCGCGGUAAGACGGAGGAUGCGAGCGUUAUCCGGAUUUAUUGGUUUUAAAGGGUGCGUAGGCGGACUGUUAAGUCAGCGGUAAAAGCCCGGGGCUCAACCCCGGCGAGCCGUUGAAACUGGCUGUCUUGAGAUGUCGAGAGGUAUGCGGAAUGCGCAGUGUAGCGGUGAAAUGCUUAGCUAUUGCGCAGAACUCCGAUUGCGAAGGCAGCAUACCGGCGGCGAUCUGACGCUGAGGCACGAAAGCGUGGGUAUCGAACAGGAUUAGAUACCCGAGUAGUC
RNAcentral lists this ribosomal RNA (459 nucleotides) under uncultured bacterium. RNAcentral's name for it is "partial 16S ribosomal RNA". It matches the Rfam family "Bacterial small subunit ribosomal RNA", at positions 338 to 795 of the family's 1533-position model. The record is from RNAcentral.